GACGAACGCUGGCGGCGUGCUUAACACAUGCAAGUCGAACGGAAAGGCCCUGCUUUUGUGGGGUGCUCGAGUGGCGAACGGGUGAGUAACACGUGAGUAACCUGCCCUUGACUUUGGGAUAACUUCAGGAAACUGGGGCUAAUACCGGAUAGGAGCUCCUGCUGCAUGGUGGGGGUUGGAAAGUUUCGGCGGUUGGGGAUGGACUCGCGGCUUAUCAGCUUGUUGGUGGGGUAGUGGCUUACCAAGGCUUUGACGGGUAGCCGGCCUGAGAGGGUGACCGGCCACAUUGGGACUGAGAUACGCACCAGACUCCUACGGGAGGCAGUAGUGGAGAGUAUGGCGCAAUGGGCGGAAGCCUGAUGCAGCAACGCCGCGUGCGGGAUGACGUCCUUCGGGGUGUAAACCGCUUUCGCCUGUGACGAAGCGUGAGUGACGGUAAUGGGUAAAGAAGCACCGGCUAACUACGUG
This 468-nucleotide ribosomal RNA is filed under the name uncultured bacterium. RNAcentral describes it as "partial 16S ribosomal RNA". It matches the Rfam family "Bacterial small subunit ribosomal RNA", at positions 28 to 507 of the family's 1533-position model. The record is from RNAcentral.